UUAAUAGAAACCAAAAAGAGGUAUUUUAUUGUUAAUAAAAAUAUUGAAUAAUAUUCCUAUUAAA
RNAcentral lists this transfer RNA (64 nucleotides) under Mitjaevia bifurcata. Its description in RNAcentral is "tRNA-Asn". Lineage: Eukaryota; Metazoa; Arthropoda; Insecta; Hemiptera; Cicadellidae. The record is from RNAcentral.